Molecule: ribosomal RNA, 424 nt
Filed under: uncultured prokaryote
Description: bacterial SSU rRNA
Rfam family: Bacterial small subunit ribosomal RNA
Source: RNAcentral
UGGGGAAUAUUGGACAAUGGGGGCAACCCUGAUCCAGCCAUGCCGCGUGAGUGAUGAAGGCCUUAGGGUUGUAAAGCUCUUUUACCAGGGAUGAUAAUGACAGUACCUGGAGAAUAAGCUCCGGCUAACUCCGUGCCAGCAGCCGCGGUAAUACGGAGGGAGCUAGCGUUGUUCGGAAUUACUGGGCGUAAAGCGCGCGUAGGCGGCUUUUCAAGUCAGGGGUGAAAUCCCGGGGCUCAACCCCGGAACUGCCCUUGAUACUGGCAGCCUAGAGUUCGAGAGAGGUGAGUGGAAUUCCGAGUGUAGAGGUGAAAUUCGUAGAUAUUCGGAGGAACACCAGUGGCGAAGGCGGCUCACUGGCUCGAUACUGACGCUGAGGUGCGAAAGCGUGGGGAGCAAACAGGAUUAGAUACCCCCGUAGUCC